RNAcentral lists this ribosomal RNA (465 nucleotides) under Triticum aestivum (bread wheat). Its description in RNAcentral is "partial small subunit ribosomal RNA". The record is from RNAcentral. Lineage: Eukaryota; Viridiplantae; Streptophyta; Magnoliopsida; Poales; Poaceae.
AUGCGUGAUCAGGUCGGCAUCGACCUGGACGGCUUCCCCCUCGACCAUGAGUUCUCGGACGACUAUGGGCUAGAGGAAGAGGACGAGUGCAACAUCGAAGUGGAGCCUUUGUUCGAGGACGAGCUCGCCAACCAAGCCGCCGGGCCGAAGCCGAAGCGCAAGAGCAAAUGCACGAAGGCGUACACAGCUGCCGAGGACAAGCUUCUAUGCAAGUGUUGGCGAGACAUUGGACUAGACCCAAAGACGGGCGCCGAGCAAAAGCAUUCAACCUUUUGGACUCGUGUGCACCACGAGUUUCAUGAGCGCAAGAAGUUUCCACCCUACCAAUUUGUGAGCACGCGCGGGUGGGUCUCCAUUUCCAAGCGGUGGAGGGUAAUUCAACAAGAGUGCAACAAGUUUUGUGCAACCCUUGAGAGCGUCAAGGCCCGCCCCGUGAGCGGCAUCGGCAUGCAAGACAUGGUAUGA